This 384-nucleotide unclassified non-coding RNA is filed under the name soil metagenome. Its description in RNAcentral is "partial contains 5.8S ribosomal RNA, internal transcribed spacer 2, and large subunit ribosomal RNA". The stretch from base 1 to 120 matches the Rfam family "5.8S ribosomal RNA", at positions 35 to 154 of the family's 154-position model. The record is from RNAcentral.
GAUGAAGAACGCAGUGAAAUGCGAUAAGUAAUGUGAUUUGCAGAAUUCAGUGAAUCAUCGAAUCUUUGAACGCACCUUGCACCCUUUGGCAUUCCGAAGGGUAUGCUCGUUUGAGUGUCAUUGUACUCUCACUCUCCCGAUGCUUUUGGAUCGGGAGUGGUGGACUUGGGUGUUGCUGCUUUGCUGUGGCUCGCCUCAAAUGGAGUAGUGCAACUCUUGGUUGGACAUAGUACGGCGUGAUAAGUGUCUUCGCCGGCGCCUCAUUAUAGAGGGUGGCCGAUCGGGAGCUCUGUGCUUCAAACCGUCUUCGGACAACAUCUGACAACUUGACCUCAAAUCGAGUAGGACUACCCGCUGAACUUAAGCAUAUCAAUAAGCGGAGGA